CAAGUCGAGGGGCAGCACAGGUAGUAAUACUGGGUGGCGACCGGCAAACGGGUGCGGAACACGUACACAACCUUCCUUUUGGUGGGGGAUAGCCUUUGGAAACGGAGAUUAAUACCCCAUAAUACAUUUGAACUGCAUAGUUUUUAUGUUAAAGAUUUAUCGCCGGAAGAUGGGUGUGCGUAUGAUUAGGUAGUUGGUAGGGUAACGGCCUACCAAGCCGACGAUCAUUAACUGGUGUGAGAGCACGACCAGUCACACGGGCACUGAGACACGGGCCCGACUCCUACGGGAGGCAGCAGUAAGGAAUAUUGGUCAAUGGACGGAAGUCUGAACCAGCCAUGCCGCGUGGAGGAUGAAGGUCCUCUGGAUUGUAAACUUCUUUUAUAGGGGGCGAAAAAAGGGAAUUCUUUCUCGUCUGACGGUACCCUAUGAAUAAGCACCGGCUAACUCCGUGCCAGCAGCCGCGGUAAUACGGAGGGUGCAAGCGUUAUCCGGAUUCACUGGGUUUAAAGGGAGCGUAGGCGGGCAGUUAAGUCCGUGGUGAAAGCCCUCAGCUCAACUGAGGAACUGCCAUGGAUACUAUUUGUCUUGAAUGUCGUUGAGGUUUGCGGAAUGGGUCAUGUAGCGGUGAAAUGCUUAGAUAUGACCCGGAACACCAAUUGCGAAGGCAGCAGGCUAAACGAAUAUUGACGCUGAGGCUCGAAAGCGUGGGGAUCAAACAGGAUUAGAUACCCUGGUAGUCCACGCCCUAAACGAUGAUUACUCGACAUACGUGAUAUGACAAUGUGUGUCUGAGCGAAAGCAUUAAGUAAUCCACCUGGGAAGUACGACCGCAAGGUUGAAACUCAAAGGAAUUGACGG
This 861-nucleotide ribosomal RNA is filed under the name uncultured bacterium. Its description in RNAcentral is "bacterial SSU rRNA". It matches the Rfam family "Bacterial small subunit ribosomal RNA", at positions 58 to 916 of the family's 1533-position model. The record is from RNAcentral.